CUCAGUUACUGCUCUGCAUUCCAGGCCACAGGGGCAUGGAUCUCAUUAGGCAGCCUUACAAAGCCUAUAUGGACAGCCUUGUUAGGAAAGGGGAUGCCAUGGAACUCUUCUUGAUUUCACUUGAGCUGAAGGACUUUUUAACAAUGUAUUUUUGAGGAAUAAUUGUUUAAAAAAAAAAAAAAAGUUUUAAGAUGUAUUUGAAAGUGAGGGAAUAUGAAAGAGAGAAAGCAAGAAAGGAAGAAAGAGGAUUAACAAGUAUUCACCUUUUAUUACCAUAUGUAAUUGAUGAGCAACAAAUUUAACAACACAAGCAUUACUGAAACAGAUUCUGGGAGCACUACCACGAAUAUAAGUCACACUCAGGCCUCUUCUGAUCCUAGCACAAUUAACAAGUAGGAAAACUUCCCUUGACUUAGCAGAAAAGUGGAAGAAGGAGGCAUGGACUUCCCCACUUUUGUGGGUUGCAUAUACCAUCUCAGAAGCUAGGAAGCCUGUCCUUGUCCAUAGACUCUUUCAACAGAGUAUGAACAAUUCCUGCUGUUUUGAAAUCUUUCUCCUGCUUUUGCACCCAAAAGACCACAGCCCGGCCUGAAGCUCCUUUUUUGAGGAGAGCUGCACAAACAAAGAUAAGAACAGGCCUAAUCUUGUGCCAAAAUGAUCUGCAGCAACGAACUAGGACAUGGUUACAGCCAUAUUUAUUGGCAUUCCAGCACUAUGACUCACGUGGAAUUAGCUCUAGAAGUGGAACAAUGUGAGCUGAAGAGGUUUACAGUUGAGGGAUAAACAGACAAAGGAGAUGGAUUGAGGAUCCAACCUGCAAGAGAUCACAUUUAGGAGAGAAUUGGCAUGACAUGGAGAGAUUCCAGAAGCAAUUCACUGAAGAAAAUUACCCCAUCCAGAAGAAAUACCCUAGGAUUUGACAAGUAUCAUCAGAUGAGGACAUUUCUAGACACUGUUUUGGAGGUAGACAUUAACUACCUGAAAUGAGCCCCAAAGCUCCUGCUGUCUCAAAGCCACAAGUGCUGCUGGCUCUUUUCUUCCAUGACCAACACUUUGCUCCACUGCCUGAUGCUUUAAAUGUACUAGGGAAUGCAGGCAUGGUGCUAACAUCACAACUGCUGUUCGUGUACAGGCUCACUGCCCAGUCAAGACAUACCUAUCCUUCUCCAGGGACAACAAUCCACUGCAAACCAUCUUCAGAGAAGUAUUCUUUUCAUCUGCUUCUUUUUUCACCCUCCUAGGAUUUCAAGCCUCUCUCAUAUCUGUUGAUAACACAUCUGUGACAGAGGGAAUAUACAUAAUGAAUGAGCUAUUAAAUUGCAGGAUCCUACUGAAAGGCUGCAAGAAACUCAGACUUUUCCAGAGUGCUAACAUGAUUCAUACUGUAUGUUUGCAUGAUAUUGGCAGCUGUAAGACUUGGGAUUAUUUUAAAAGGUUGUGUUCUCACAUAUAUUUAAGUAUUUGUCAUUGUGGGUCUUCAUGGGAAGUCUGUGUUUAAGCUGUACAAGAAUGCUAAAGAGAAAUGAUUAUUGGUAGCAGAUCAUUUGGGACCAUCCACUUCCACCUCUUGGCUUCAGAACUCAACAAAUCCAGCUCCAGCUGAAGAGACCAAGACACAGCUUCAUGCAGAGAGCGUCACUGGAUCUCUGAGCAGUGAGCACAGCUGACCCAUGGGGCCACAUGGGUCACGGUCACUUGAGUGCAGCCCAGUAUUGUCAGUGGAACUUCUGGAACUGGAAGAUCACCAUUCAGUUCCUUUUAGACUCUACAGACAGCCCAGAUUCAACGCCAGUAACUCAUGCAAUUGCUAUGAACAGCAAAAUGGGAUUGCUAGUAUGAGGUGAUGUUUCUUGUCACUGUGGAAUUUGCCAUGAGAUAGUUAGAUGGCACUGGAAGCCAAAGAAGAAUGGAGUUCAAAAUCCCAAAUAUUAUCCUAAAAGCACUAUUUAUUUUAAUAACUAUGAGCUCCAUGUGAGGACCAUUACACCAAAUAAUGUGAAGAAAACUCUGUGGCAGACAGACCCAUUGCCUGUGCUGAAAUCCAGAUGGCAAUGCCAGCCAGUUUCUGACGGAUAUUUACCUAGGCUCCUUUCAACAUUUUCUUGAUGUUCUUCAGAUGCUGUCGGUAGCUGAAAGCUUUAUUCAGUGUGCCUCCAAAAUUCCUGCGCUCCAACAUUCCACUGAGCUCAGCGGUUGGGAUGCCAGCAGAGCUGACCACCUACAACCAAGCCUUGCAGAAUGGUAUGAACGGAUCCCAAACAAAAAUUGGUUAUUUCCAAGCAGCCCUGUCUCACCAUAGAGAGAUGUGGAAACAAGUAAAUAAAAAGUCAGUCGUUUCGAGCCCA
Molecule: long non-coding RNA, 2345 nt
Filed under: Anas platyrhynchos platyrhynchos (common mallard)
Lineage: Eukaryota; Metazoa; Chordata; Aves; Anseriformes; Anatidae
Description: lncRNA (ENSAPLG00000030791.1)
Source: RNAcentral